This 817-nucleotide long non-coding RNA is filed under the name Chinchilla lanigera (long-tailed chinchilla). RNAcentral's name for it is "lncRNA (ENSCLAG00000023970.1)". Lineage: Eukaryota; Metazoa; Chordata; Mammalia; Rodentia; Chinchillidae. The record is from RNAcentral.
CUCUGCUUCCCUCCCAGGUUCAAGUGGCAGCUCCCUUAAUGGCUUGUCCUGCUCUGUGUCCUGCUUUGGACAAGAACAGAGCACCUGAGCUCAGCAGGAGCUGGCCUCGGACCCAAGCGCCCUCCUCAGCCUGCCCGGCAUGCCGGUGUCUGCUUCUCCGGCAGGAGCCUGCAUGGGCCCCGGAAGGCCAUCCUGGUGUUGCUAUGCAAAGUGCAGGUCACAGCCUUGGCUUCUCAGUUCCCUGGCGGUGGCAUCAGUGUCACUGGAAGCCUGUGUGAAACAUCCAGCUCAGACCUGCUGGGGCAGACACUGCAGUUUCACAGGGUGGCCAGGUGCUGCCGGUGCACAUGGAGCGCUGGGAGGAGCCUCUGCUUCCGGAUGUGCAAAAGUCUUCGGUUUGGUCAGGCGACUUGCCUACCUCUGACGUCACUGCCUUUGUGGCCCUGCACAUCCAGCAACCUGGAAGCUGCUGGGCGAGUUCCAGCGCCACAUUCCACAGAAUCCUCUGCGCCUGCCCAGCCGCCACGCUCACGAACAUCCGGGGCAUGUGGCCCUCCUCCUCACAACUGGCUUCAAAGCAUCUCCCCUCACUAUUCUUUUUUUUUAAGGUCUCACCAUUUCAUUUUUUAUCCUCAGGACCUUUCACACUAUUACUCUCCGAGCACAUCAAUUACAAACUACCAAAUGCUGCAACAUUUGCAGUUUUCUAAAACUACAUUUACUGCUAUUUCAGGUCCGCUCCGGCCCGCUGCCUCUUCGCAGGCGUGUGUGGUUCGCCGCCGUGCGGAGCAUGGCGCACACAGACGCUGCAGAAGCC